RNAcentral lists this non-coding RNA (21 nucleotides) under Arabidopsis thaliana (thale cress). The record is from RNAcentral. Lineage: Eukaryota; Viridiplantae; Streptophyta; Magnoliopsida; Brassicales; Brassicaceae.
UGUACAAGGUCCCACAUUGCU